AGGGGAUUGGUUGGGUCGCGGCGGCAGUCCAGACUCCACAGCGGAGGAGACCUGCGAGACCGCGCGAGACUGGCUUCCGGCGUGAGCGGCGCGGCGAACACCCCUCCUAGCCGCGGCCAGAGCCUCGCAAGCCGCGGGGGCCCCGCCCACAAUCCUGGCCCCGCCCCCGGCCUCUGCGGGCACGCCACCCCUCUGCAGCCUCCACGGGCCCCGCGCCGGCCCCCCCACGUGGCUUGUUCUCUGGCGGCUCUGAUUGGCCAGCUCCCGUCGCGCAGACCCUGCGUCCUUUCACCUGCUGGGUCGCUGCGCUGCCCUCACCGAGCGAGGGUCUGAGGCCGGAAUGCAGGACCAUGAGGGUUUUCCGAUCGCUCUCCGCUGAUGUUUUUCUCGUUUCCCGCUGAGGGCGAGAGCUCUGGGAAAGGAGCUGAACCUGGUGGAAUCUUCAGGUGAUGAAGAUGGAGACUUCAGGUCUGAGUCGGCCGGAAAGAAAAGAGGUCUUACUGAAUUGACUUCAAAGAAGAAUAAGGGAACUUGUAAGACUCCUGGAUUAGAGACCAUCCACAGGGCAUCCUUGGGAGCCAUGACCUGAAGGUGGACAAGCCACAGGAUGGAAGGAGCUGCAUCCCUGAGUCACCACUGAAGAACAGUCACCCCCAAUGGAUUUGGAGAGAAAUCUUUUCUAAUAUCCACCUUUAAGUCCCAGUUGUAAUCCACUUCUUUCAUUCUCCCAGUGCUCAGUGCGGUUUAGAGGAAAUUCUAGAUUCUCGUAAUAUCUUGGUCAUGGAUGAUAAGGAAAGGGCCUUUACAUACAUGUGAGGCAAAGUGGAUCAGGACGAGCAGAGCAGAGUGAGAGCGGUAAGGCUCCACAGGGUAAGGAAGGCCCGGCAGGAGAGCAGAGCAGUGGUGCAGAGGCAGGCAGCUGAGGGAGGUGGGCAGUGCCGUCAGGAUGAGGCCUCUGGGUGUGUCAGCAUCCAGUGGAGACUGGCAGAGCUAUAUAGACAAACUGAUAAAAAGCUCUACCUACUGCAGUCACAAAGGCUCAGGCUCAAAAUGAUGGAUACAUUAGGGAUUAACAUCUCCAUUUUAUUGACAAGGAAAUUAAGUUUUACGGAGAUUAGAAUGUUUGUCUUUGUAGCUAGUAGAGUGCUUAGUUCGCAGUAGAUGCACAAUAAAUAUUUGUUGAAUGAA
Diceros bicornis minor is the source of this 1188-nucleotide long non-coding RNA. RefSeq lists it as uncharacterized. The transcript has 3 exons. The record is from RefSeq and is a predicted model, not a curated record. NCBI's taxonomy places the organism in Eukaryota, Metazoa, Chordata, Mammalia, Perissodactyla, Rhinocerotidae.